UAACAUGUUGUCCACCCAAUAAAAGGAGCAGAGACUGAAUCUAGUACUGAAAGCAUAAGCUAACAUAUGUUUCACUUAGCUAGCGAAUUAGCCUACUCAAAACACCCGGCUCAAACAGAGGGAUGCUAUGUUAGCUCGCUGGCUAUCCAACACAACACUGGAACUCUUCCAAGUCAAGAAACACAAGUGUUCUCUCACGUUGGACCUCUGGGCAACAUCUUCUCCAGAAUCUCUUCUUUGUGUUGUGAGUGUC
Molecule: long non-coding RNA, 253 nt
Organism: Oncorhynchus masou masou (cherry salmon)
Lineage: Eukaryota; Metazoa; Chordata; Actinopteri; Salmoniformes; Salmonidae
Exons: 3
Source: RefSeq, a predicted model, not a curated record